This 1403-nucleotide long non-coding RNA is filed under the name Homo sapiens (human). Its description in RNAcentral is "non-protein coding lnc-RNF39-4:18". The record is from RNAcentral. Lineage: Eukaryota; Metazoa; Chordata; Mammalia; Primates; Hominidae.
ACCGUGCAGCUGGGAUUGUUUGUGGUCGGCUACUGGGUCCCUGACUUAACCAGGGGAGCCAAGACCCUGUAGCCAAGUGGCCUGGAUUCAACCUGCAGCUCAGGUCUUACUGACACUUCUCCCCCUGGUGCCUCAGUUUCUUAAUCUGUGAAAUGGUGAGGACAUUACAGCAUUUACCUCUGGGGCGGGUUUCUCAACAGCAGCACUAUUAACAAUUUGGGACAGAGAAUCUUGUGGAGUGGUCUGUCCUGUGCAUUGUGGGAGGUUUGCCAGCAACACCCCACUCACCCCCUCCCACCAAUCCCCAUGUGACAACCGAAAAUGUCCCAGGAUUUUUAGGUCUCCCUUGGGUCUAGAAGCUGCACUUAGGCAUUUUCCCACCUGACACUUGAGUUCAUCUCUGCUUUGGUCCACAUAAGGCCACUUUAAAAAAAUGUUGUUUCUUUAAAGAUUCUAACCAUCUUUUAAACAAAUCCAUUUUCUUCCUCUAUUUCUGCAUUCAGUUAAUCCUUCCAAACCCUUUGUUUAGUAUAUCUUGAAAUGUAUCAAUUCCUGUUCUAGUAAUUAACAUAUGUGACUUGCAUGAUAUCUGCUAUGACCCUUAGUAGAGCUCUGAUUCCUUUAGCACAGGGAAUGUGUUCUCGAUUCUGCUCUGGAUGAUGUAAAUCAAUUUAUUUUACUUUACUUGUCUGGGAUGUUGCUCCUCAUCUGUAAGAUGUAAAUGUGGAUAUGGCUUGGAUUACUAAGUGGUUUUAUUUCUUAAUUCACCUGACAUUUGUUGUGUGCCUGCUGCAAGUCAAAUACAUGGCAUGGUAUUGUUUCCUUGUUCACACCACAGCAAAUGAGAAAAUGAGACAUUAUAGCCAGGUGUGGCGGCACAGGCUUGUGGUCCUAGCUACUCGGAAGGCUGAGGCAGGAGAAUUGCUCCAGCCCAGGAGUUUGAGGUUACAGUAAGGUAUGAUAUCACCAUUGCAUUUCAACCUGGGCAACAGACCCUGUCUCUGAAAAAAGGGAAAAAGACCUUGUGAGCUGUCUACGUGUACUCUAUGUCUCAGGAGACUCAUAUCCUGUAAUUUUUCUAAAUGGCGUCUCCAUGUGGUCUUUCAUGAAUGUUUGUCUGGUAUUCUCUAUCCUUUUACUUUCAACUUUUCUUUACCUUCUACUGAAAUUAUGUCUUUUGUAAACAGCCCAUGAUUAUUUAUUUAGUUAUUUAUUUUUACCCCCCUGCACUAUUUGUCUUGUAAUUGGAGUGUCUGAGUCCAUUAUGUUUAAUGUAAUUAUUGACCUCAUUGGGUUUAAGUCUGUCCAUUGUCAUUUGCUGCCUUCUAAUAUUAUCUCUUUCUUGCUCAACUAUUUUUCUUAUGUUACCUUCUUUAGAUGAAUAAAAACCUUUGCAUUAUUGU